ACCCGGUUGGCGCAAUGGUAGCGCGUGUGACGCAUGAUCAUAAGGCUGCGAGUUCGACCCUCGCAUCGGGUG
Molecule: transfer RNA, 72 nt
Filed under: Clonostachys rosea
Lineage: Eukaryota; Fungi; Ascomycota; Sordariomycetes; Hypocreales; Bionectriaceae
Rfam family: tRNA
About the family: Transfer RNA (tRNA) molecules are approximately 80 nucleotides in length. Their secondary structure includes four short double-helical elements and three loops (D, anti-codon, and T loops).
Source: RNAcentral